Molecule: long non-coding RNA, 5170 nt
Organism: Triticum dicoccoides
Lineage: Eukaryota; Viridiplantae; Streptophyta; Magnoliopsida; Poales; Poaceae
Exons: 5
Source: RefSeq, a predicted model, not a curated record
GACGCCGCACGCCGCCACCGCCGCGAAUCCCCAGGGAUGCCACACGCCACCGCCGUCGCGAAUCACGAGAGACGCCGCUCGCCGCCGCCGCGGAUCCCCAAGGGCGUGGUCGCGUUGCCCUGAUUGGAGGAGACCCUGCCCGCCUUGCCUCGUUUGGAGGACGAACACAGGUAUUUCGAGGCCCAUGUGCGUCAAUCCCGACCUCCGCUUUCCCCCUUUUCCAUCGAGGGCCGCCGCCGCUGCUUCGUCUUCUAUCUCUCCCGAUCCCCAUCGGCACCUGCUGGAUGGUGCUCCGGGAACAGGGCCGCACGGAGGCCCUCCUCCCGUAGGAUGUGCAGACGCGGCACGCCUUGCAGCGGCUGUUCGGGAUGAGCGCGGGCGCGACAACCUUGUCCCAGUCGAUGAUGGCGGCGGCGAACGCCGGUGCUCCUUCUCGUCCUCUACCUCCAAGGACGCGCACCGAUACAGCUCAGGCACCCCCGUCCCCAAAUCCCGCCCACCCAUCCGGCGUUGUCCAGCUCAUCCUCACGCUCGUGGAUUCGCCUCCUCCUGUAUGCGACACUUGAAACGUGGACGUGUCUGAAGCAGAACCUCCGUCUUCUAUCUCAACGUCGGCGGCCCGACGACGCCGACUCCUUAUCGACGCCCGUCGACAGCCCGGUGACGCGACCAGAUCACUGCAAAUUGCUCCAUUCAUGUCAGCAGCCUAAUCAGGUUUAUUGUAGAUUGGAGUUGUCCCUUCACUCUUGAUCAAUAACCAGAUAUUGGCAAGCUUGAGUUAUCCAUGGAUGCAUGGAAAAGAUUAUUCAUUGUUGUGAUAUGCAUAUCUGUAGGAUUAAAUUCAUCUGAAUUAUGAGCUAUGUCACACUUUGCAGAGUAUAGAGACUUCAGUUCACAUAAUCUGUUUGUACAUAUGUUGAUGUCAGGUGGAGGUGGUCAUGCUGGCGCCACUGUUUCACUUCGUGCUGAUGCGGUAUAAAAGUGCCUCCUCGGCAGAUGAGGACCUGAGCAUGGUCGUGCUAAUGAGGAUGCAAGAUCCACCGCCAUCGGCCAGUCCGAGUGCGUUGUUGUUUUCAUUCUUUGGGAUUUCGAAAUCAGGUGUUCGUCCCUGAUGAUUUCCGCGAGAUAAACUGAUUUCAUUGGCAUCAUCUAUUUCAUUGCCUCACCAAUAUCCAUGUGAGCCUGAGUUGUAAGUGAAUGUACACAUUGCGUGGUUGUGUUCCUGCAGGUGAUUGCAGAGAACUUGGCAGGCAGAUCAAUUACGAGGAGGUCAGGGUGCCAACAUGAAAAAGCUGGAGAUAUCUCUAUUUUUGUCAGUCAUUAUUCAGGCUCUAAAGCUUCCCCUUUUCCUAUACCACAUUACUUGAUAUUAUUAAAUUCAGUACGCUUACUCAACUGUGAACAAGUUCAUGUGGUAAGUAGGAUCAACAAGAGUUGGCUGGCAACUUCUAUGUAUAUGUUAUUAUGGAUCAGCCAAGGUGGUUAAAUUUUCAAUUUUUUUCCUUUUUCUUAAUUUAAGCCCUUAAGUUUAUGCUGUUAAAUGCAUACACAUAACUUAGUUCCAGAUUUAACAAGAGUACAUUUUACAACAAACUUCAUAGCUGAUGUUGAUCAUAAUUAGUAAGUGCACAAAGCAUUUCAAGGAAUUUAUGUUUUGUGCAUAUUGUAUAUUGCAGACUUGCAGUGAAGUAGUGCCAUCUAAGUACCAGAUGUAUGUUAUUUUCAGAUAAGCUUUUCUUAAAAUGGAAAAUACUAAAAAGCAAAUUGUGCCACACCGUGCAAUUAAGGUGCCUUGUGCUGGAAACUCAAUGCAACUUCUUGUUAUUUUCAAAUAAGCUUUUCUUAAAAUGGAAAAUACUAAAAAGCAGAUUGUGCCACACUGUGCAAUUAAGGUGCCUUUUACUGGAAACUCAAUGCAACUUCUUGUUAUUCCUUCUGAACCUAGCAAUUAAGCCAUAUCUUGUUUUCACUCCUUCUGAACCUAGCAAAAUGACCUGCUUGGACCGAACGAGGACAGGUGUGUGGUGGUGGACAUAAGAUGCACGGCGAACAUUGAGCUACAGAAGAACAUUAUGAAAGAGGUUGGAGAGGCUGGAGGAGACCAUAUACCAAUACAAAGCGCAUCUUGAUGGCCAUCAAUGAGGAGCUGAACCUGCUACACCAGGCUAAUUGCAAGCAUCGGGAUGAUUUGGACGAGAUGACUGAUGAGGACAUGAGCGUUGUCGGAUGAUUUGGACGAGAGGACUGUAGCACGACGCAAUGAAGAGCCAGAUCGUCCGUCCGCUCCCAGCUCACUUCCCGGUUUCGUUGUGCUGCCCGUUGCACCAACCAUCCAGUAAAGGUUCUGAGGUUAACAUCUCUUUUGCGAGUUUCAUAUAACUUUCGUUGUCACUUUAUUAUCUAUUGAUCCACAUAUUUGUAUUUUAGCAGACAUGAGUUACUUUAUCAUCUUUCCAGGAAGAAAUUACUAGAGAGAAGAAAACUCAGUUUUACAAGUAGUGACAGUCCAACAUCAUAUUGACAAGUCUGGUUCCUCUUUCCGUAUACAUAAGUGUAUAAUUUGUUUUAAGUAACUGUUUCCUCGGUCCUUAUUGCCACCGUUUUCUCAAGUGCAACCGCGAGCUUAGUAAUAGCAAGAUAGAAAUUUGAGAUGGCAAAACUGUACGUCCAAUACAAUUUCUAACUUGUGCUUGACUACUUGUUGCUUCUUGCAGUUUGGUUCUUUAAAUAACAAGAAAAGAUGGCAAAACUUUACUCACAAGAAGUUGUGUAUUUUGGAAAGAUAGAUGAUCGAAAUAAACUGUCAUUGUCAUAAAUUUUGUACUGUACAUUAUGCGAUUGGCCUGACCAUCUUCUUCGUCAGUGUCGGAUGUUCGACAUCAAUCUCCAUCUUUUCAUUUUCAGAAUCGCACGUGGGGUUAGUAAAGACUUCUUCAUAUUUGCUUUUGUUGCCACUGCUGCAGGAGAGUUGCCACCUGAUAGCGAUGUUGUCCCUUCAAAAUUGUUUUAAGUUCUUUUUUGCUGAUAUAAGUGCAGACUUUUGCAUUAAGCAUGACAUGGAAUUUGUUUUAUGUAAAUAUUGAUGCUUCACAAUGAAUUCAUGUUGUGAAGGGUGAUGAUUUAUCUUCAGUACAAUCUGUUAUAAGUUGUAGUUUAUUUUGUUUUCAUGUGUUAUUUGUAGAGAAUAUAUGGUUCGUGUUUAUCAUGCUUAUUUCAUAUAGCUUUUUCUGGUAGCAUAUUUGUAACAGAAAUGCAUUAGCCACCCUGUUCAUGAUUCAUAAUGCAUGCGUUUUAGUGGGAUGGAGGUAAUAUUGAGAGAGACAGACCCAUCAGGCUAAGGAAUAGAAAUAGUAUAUCUUUUGAGUCUACCAUCUUCUAUGCCAAGCAGGGUCGAGUGGGGUGAUAUACUAGGCGCUUUUCUUCUAAAUUGUACAGAAAGUCCACUGAGUUAUUGUUGUUUGUAUGACACCUUAGAGCGAAAUAGUACUUCUUUUAAUCAUUUUUAGGUGAAAUGCAAGCAUGUAGCUACCUCACUUAAUUAUUGUACUCACUUGAAGUUUAUGUUGAUAUAAUGCACUAUUUAAGUAGUAGAGAAACCUCACAAAUUUGAAUUGAUGAAUGAUAUUUAGGAAAAGAAGUAGGCAUGUUUCAUUAUAAAGGGAAAGUAUUUUUCAAGGCAUAGUGUUUAAUUCACGGAUGGUUAAACAGUUUAACAGGGACCAACAUUGGGUAGCAGGGGAGUGGCAGUGCAUAGAGACAUAGUGAGGGGAGCGGGGGCGAUGAUGGAGGCGGAGAUGUUUAGAGAGAGAUAUAGAGAGUGGGAGGUUUACCAUGGUGUAAACGAAAACCGAGGCACGCCUUGCUAAGACAAGCACACUUUAAAACAUAGCAAUACUCUGCAUUGUUUUGAUGUUGGUAUCAGGACCAGGUACCAUGUGAAGCUCAAGGAAUGGUUGUAGAUCAUUAUGGAUAAACUGAAAAAAGAUCAUUAUGGAGUACAUUAUAAACGGCAUUUGGUGUCGGUGGCAUGUCACUACCACUGACAAAGUUCUAUGAAACACGAUUACUAUCAUGUACAAUGCUUUACAUUUCUCUCAUAUUCAAAUGCUAAAAUUCUGUAAUUUCACAUUUAGUAGUUUCUGCGGUGUGAAAUUCAUGUUUUAUUUUGCCUGCACAGUUGAAAAUAAAUGCUGGCAAAGAUAUUAAAAUUCAAAUCUGGCUUAUUUUUCUCAAUAUGGGUUCAGAAGGAAAUUGUCGUUGAGCUUCUAUCUAAAGGCACUUUUUCAUUAGAUUUCAGCAGCCUCGAUGGCUGAUGGCAGCAACCUCAUGGGCCACACAUCCCCUUCGUUAAUUGCAUGCCCUCAAAAAAUGGAUGGGGACUUGGUUCUUUGGUUGUCGCCGCCGGACUCAGUGAAGGACGAAAAAUUGAGAUGAUCCAUUGAAGAAUAGAUGCCACGGGCUGAAGAAAGGAGGUGACGGUUUCAGAGCACACACCUUGAAGCAGAGAGGCGGCAAGGGAGUGCGUCUGGAUGGCAGAGGGAGCGGGACAAAGCAACAUCACAUGGGAGACAUGGUCAAAAUCGGCGCCGUAGGAGCAAUCGUGCAUGUGGGGGUCGUACCAGGGAGAAGGAAAAGGGUGGUCGGUGUUGUAGGGCUUUUUUCCUUGCAUCGGGAAAUGGGUUCGGUUGAAAAAAACGAUGAUGUGGGGAGGUCACGCGAGUGGUGGAUACGUGGGUACCGUUUAACGUACCAACUGUGGUUUAAUAGUAGAGAUUAAUAUGUUGAUAUUUUAUUCAUUUUCUUCUUAGCUGAACAUUCAUUAAACCAAAAAUCUAUGAAACUUGUAAUGUAUCAUGGUCGCAAUUUGUGAAGUAGAACUAACUAUCCUUUGACCAAAUACCCUUUGAUCGUUCAUCAAUUUUUAUGUACUUGUCGCCCGUGACAACAAAUAUGGAUCAAAUAACUAUGCACUAUGGGCACUAAUAUGGUUACCUUCAAAUGGGUUUGUUACUGUGUUUAGUUACUAUGAUGUUUCAUAUGUUCAUCAGAAAAAAUAAAGGCUUAUUUGCUUGCAUGUGCUUUCUCAUGUUUGUUUGUUUUUUCUUGUGGUUGUUCCUUUUCUAUAAUUGUCACAUAAAGUGAACCGAAACUCAUAUUCUAUAUUUCUGUU